GUGCAGAGUGUGCCAGGCCCCACCCACAAAUGGGGCUUGUGGGGUCCUUGGGUGGCAGAGGCUGAGCGUGGGAAAGUGAGCUUCAGGCCAGAGAAGCCACAAAAGGGCCAGCUGCGGGCCGUCCAGCGGCUGUGCCACUUCUACAGUGCCGUCAUGCCCAGCGAGGCCCAGUGUGUCAUCUACCAUGAGCUCCAGCUCUCCCUGGCCUGCAAGGUGGCCGACAAGGUGCUGGAGGGGCAGCUCCUGGAGACCAUCAGCCAGUUCUACCUGUCCCUGGGCACUGAGCGGUCAUCUCAACCCCAGCAGUAGCAGUACGUGCAUUCUGGGCUGUUCUUCCUACCGAGGUGGUUUUUGUCAUCUGACCUCUGCCUGCCCCGAGUCUUCACUCCUGGCCUUCAUCUGUGCCCUUAAAUGUGACCACAGCAGCCACCUGUGGCUUCUCUCCCACAGAAGACAGAGCCAGUCGUAUCACCUGCUUCCCUGGGGCAGGGUUUCAAGGUCUCACGUCCCACCUGUGGCCCACUUGGCUCCCCUGGAGCAUCCUGACCUGGUGGGGUAACCACGGCCCUGGCCACCCCACCCACAGGGCCCAGUGACAUUGCUGCAGUCACACCCCUUCGACUCACCGAGAGAGCAGGGAAGGAACCAGAUUCCACAGGGACCCAGGAGAUUGGCUCCAGUCUUGGCCUCAGGUUCACAGCAGGAAAAUGGGCCAGUGUGUUAGAGCCAUGUUUCUCAAACUGUGGUCCCUGGACCAGCAGAGCAGCAUCCAUGUCACCCAGGAGCUUGUGGCAAGUGGGAGUUCUAGGGCCCGCCCCAGGCCUGUGGAGCCAGAAGCUCUGGGGGCAGGCCAGCAAGCUAUACGGACAGGCCUCCUGGUGACUGUGAUGCGUGCACACCUUGAGAACCAUUGGCCUGGAUAGCAUCUGAACACUAAUGGCUCCUGGUGCAUCUGGAGAAGACACAGGCCAUGUCUGGGAUGCGGGGGAGAUGGACUAGCACGCUUCCCCUGCCACAGGGCAGCAUGAUGCCCAGUUCCCUCAGAAGGAUGUCCUUCAUCUUUCCCGUGCCGUGUGUGUUCACCCCCACCCUCUCAGCAGCCUGGGAAGGGCAGGACACUGCACACACAAGAGGGCCAUUCCCAGUCCCAUUCCAGAUUCAUCUGUCACCAGACCCAUGGGAGGAGGCAGACUGGUUCCAGGAGGAUAAGAGACCUUGUUCUGACACCUGUGUCUGAUUCCAGGGCCUACAAAUCCGCACUGGACUACACCAAACGGAGUCUGGGGAUUUUCAUUGACCUCCAGAAGAAAGAGAAGGAGGCGCAUGCCUGGCUGCAAGCAGGAAAGAUCUAUUACAUCUUGCGACAGAGCGAGCUGGUUGACCUGUACAUCCAGGUGGCGCAGAAUGUGGCCCUGUACACAGGCGACCCCAACCUGGGGCUAGAGCUGUUUGAGGCGGCUGGAGACAUCUUCUUCAAUGGGGCCUGGGAGCGGGAGAAAGCCGUGUCCUUCUACCGGGACCGGGCCCUGCCCCUGGCAGUGACUACGGGCAACCGCAAGGCAGAGCUGCGGCUGUGCAACAAGCUGGUGGCACUGCUGGCCACGCUGGAGGAGCCCCGGGAGGGCUUGGAGUUUGCCCACACGGCCCUAGCACUCAGCAUCACCCUGGGGGACCGGCUGAACGAGCGUGUGGCCUACCACCGGCUGGCCGCCCUGCAACACCGGCUGGGCCAUGGCGAGCUGGCAGAGCACUUCUACCUCAAGGCCCUGUCGCUCUGCAACUCGCCGCUGGAGUUUGACGAGGAGACCCUGUACUACGUGAAGGUGUACCUGGUGCUCGGUGACAUCAUCUUCUACGACCUGAAGGACCCGUUUGAUGCAGCCGGGUACUACCAGCUGGCGCUGGCGGCCGCCGUGGACCUGGGCAACAAGAAGGCACAGCUGAAGAUCUACACGCGGCUGGCCACCAUCUACCACAACUUCCUCCUGGACCGUGAGAAAUCGCUCUUCUUUUACCAGAAGGCCAGGACCUUCGCCACAGAGCUCAACGUCCGCAGGGUCAACCUGCCUCCUCUGCCACUCUGCGGGUGGGCCCCUUGGUUGGCCCCCAGCCACCCUCGCUGAGGACAGCAUCCAAGGGAGUGGGUUUUGUGCAAGGGGCGGGGGUCUCCUGCCUCUCCUGGUGUCUCCGGUGGCUCAUAUUCUGGGAAAUGGAGGCACGAAUGCAGGGGUCAAAUAGCAAUAAAUUGGUUUUUUU
RNAcentral lists this small RNA (2256 nucleotides) under Pongo abelii (Sumatran orangutan). RNAcentral describes it as "retained intron". The record is from RNAcentral. Lineage: Eukaryota; Metazoa; Chordata; Mammalia; Primates; Hominidae.